UGAAAGUCAGGUCGGAUUAAGCCAUAGUACGGAAAAAACUAUGCUACCUGUGAGCCCCGUCCAAGGACGUAAAAAGAAGUCAGGCCAUCACAAAUGCCACAGCUUGAGCAAACUGUGCAGCCUGUAGCUCCAC
Molecule: long non-coding RNA, 133 nt
Filed under: dengue virus type 2
Lineage: Riboviria; Orthornavirae; Kitrinoviricota; Flasuviricetes; Amarillovirales; Flaviviridae
Description: Dengue virus type 2 partial sfRNA1
Source: RNAcentral